UACGUAGGGUGCGAGCGUUGUCCGGAAUUAUUGGGCGCAAAGAGCUUGUAGGCGGUUUGUCGCGUCUGCUGUGAAAAUCCGGGGCUCAACCCCGGACUUGCAGUGGGUACGGGCAGACUAGAGUGUGGUAGGGGAGACUGGAAUUCCUGGUGUAGCGGUGGAAUGCGCAGAUAUCAGGAGGAACACCGAUGGCGAAGGCAGGUCUCUGGGCCACUACUGACGCUGAGAAGCGAAAGCAUGGGGAGCGAACAGG
Molecule: ribosomal RNA, 253 nt
Filed under: uncultured bacterium
Lineage: Bacteria
Description: partial 16S ribosomal RNA
Rfam family: Bacterial small subunit ribosomal RNA
Source: RNAcentral